This 126-nucleotide ribosomal RNA is filed under the name Nomascus leucogenys (northern white-cheeked gibbon). Lineage: Eukaryota; Metazoa; Chordata; Mammalia; Primates; Hylobatidae. The record is from RNAcentral.
AUCUACGGCCAUACCACUCUGAACAUGCCCAAUCUCGUCUGAUCUCGGAAGCUAAGCAGGGUCGGGCCUGGUUAGUACUUGGAUGGGAGAUGGAGUCUCUCUCUGUCACCCAGGCUGGAGUGCAGU